Molecule: RNA transcript, 4869 nt
Organism: Passer domesticus (house sparrow)
Lineage: Eukaryota; Metazoa; Chordata; Aves; Passeriformes; Passeridae
Exons: 3
Source: RefSeq, a predicted model, not a curated record
UGAUCAGGGACUCUGCCUGGGGAGGUGGAGCCCAUGUCUGGAGCAGCUUUAUCCCCAGGGAGUUGUGCCCUGUGGGGAGAAGGUGAUGCUGGAGCAGAAUGCCGAGGAGGAAGCAGCUGCAGGCAGGUACUGCUGGGCCCAGUGCCUCUGUGCCACACAGGGCAGAUUCCCAAGGAAAAAUGCCUUAGGAAGUGCUCCCUCAUUGUCUCUGAUCAAAAUGUGUCUGCUGGCAGCUGCUCUUCAAACACUUUGCACAAACAGGCACAGGCUGAUCCUUGGUUUUGUGCUCUUCCUACAAGUGGGAGCCACAGGACACCUGCCACUGUCUGUUCCUUCAUCAAAGGAUGAGAAGCAUGGGCACCUGCAGCACCUUCAGAGGCAAAACCAGCUGGAAUGAAAGCACAGCCCUCUUUCCAUUAAUAGCUUCCCAACAACGAUUGAGAGAUGGGCUUUAGGGACAUGGGCAGCUCUUCCAGGUCCUCCUUACUAAAAUCCUGAAGGUGGAGAAAAUCUUGUUGAUGUAACAACAGAGGUACUCCAGUGUCUCCCAGUUUAAUCCUCAGAUUUCUGUUCUCAAGGACUUUGGCAUUUUGUCAGUUUUUUACCCACAUCAUGUAACAAGCACUUUUUUCUACACUCUGUUUACACCCUAUGAGAUGCUGGCUGUGCAUUGGGAAAUGCUGUCCCAGCUCGUGAGUCUGAUGGUUAUGUGCCCUGUUCCCCUCUCAGCAAAGGAAAGGGGCCUUUUGCCCAAGCACUCAAAGCAGCAGGCUGGAUGGAGCUCCCUGAUGAUAAGUUCAUGCCUUGAUCUGAUGGCAUUUUAAGACUGGCAUCAAAACAACAGUUUGUCAGAAUGAGUAUUCACCUCACAAAGCCUCCAGUUUGUGACCCGGCCAAAAAGGGAGAGUAAUUCAUGAGUGUAACUGUGGCUGUUGCCCUUGUUGCAGUAACCAGGGUGAUUUUGUGCCUGAAAGAUCAGAAGAGGAUGAGUCCAGGGUUAAUGGCACUCAGGACCUAUGAACCAAUGUCACCCUGCAAACUUUGCAGGCCACCAGCAUGACACACAGUGCUUUUAUGCAGAUUCUGGGCUCCCGAAGAUGUGAGUGUGCAGGUCUGCUGUUAACCUCACAAAACACCCCAUUGCUGACAGGGUGCAGCAGGGAUGGCCACUCUGCAAGGGACAGGGAUCCAGGAGCCAAGUGUGACUCUGGCACUGGCAGCUGUGGCCUCUCUUGCAAGGAUCCAGGUGUGGUGGCAACCCUGGGUCAGGAUCACAGACUGCUGGUGUGCUGUAGCUUAAAAGCAGCUCCUAAGGGAAAACAGGGUCUAGCUCUUGCUUCCAGCUCUCUUCAUGCUGCCUGCCACCAGCAGAGGAGGUGACCUUGGGCUCAGCAGCUCGGCAGCCCUGAGCUCCAGCCCAGUGCAUCCAGCUGUGAGCAGGGCAGACACACCCAAACUCCAGGUAACUUCAUGCUAAAUGGAUGGUUUAAAUGUGUGGGGCUCUUUUCCUCUCUCCAGCGUUCUAGAAAUGUAACUGAUUGUCUGAAGUGCAAUCAGUGCACACUUGACUUUUGAAAAAGAUACACAUAAAAGUGUUAUAGAAGGCAAUUCACUGAAGUCAAGUGUGCUUGAAUCACAUUUUAGAUAAUUGGUUGGAUUAAAUAAAAACUGUCAGUAAUUACAAAAGUAUGGUUUGAUUUUGAUUCUGCUCUGCAUUUUGUCCGUUUUUAAGCUUGAUUCUUUUUGUACCUCACUGAAGUACUUUUCCUUUAUCUUUGCUUCUUUGUUUUCUACUUAAUAGUCACUGUUUCCAUUCAGUAAAUGCUUUUCUUCACUUUUCAGUAUGUUAUUAACAAGUUCUUUCUGUCCUCAUCUUGCUUUUCCUUAGUAGUCUUCACUUGACUAUUACCUUUGGUUUUAUUUAUUCUUAAUGGCCUCAAUUAGAAAACAGUUACCAGAGCACUUAUUUAAACCCAGCUUAACCAUGUGUUGAGCCACUACCUGAUUUAGCAUGCUUAAACUUGUUAAUUUACUUGAAGAAUUGGGAUAACAAUGACUCUGUUAUGUACUCCAAAUUAACUUCAUUUCUGUUUGCCAUAAAUGGUUUAUCUCCAACAGUGGAAAUGUUGCCAGGUAAAAUUUAGACUGAGGGGGAGACAGAAAUAUGAAUGACAGUACAGUUUCCAUCUAGCCCAUUGCAUGUUAGCAAACUUGAUGUCACAAAACUCUCUUGGUGAAGGUAAAGGCAAGGGAAGCAAAGGCAAAGGGAAGAACAAAACCCAUAUUCGAGAUUCCCAAGGAAUAUACACAACAUAGGCUUGGAUGCAUUUCUGUGGUAUGUCCCAGUAGUGUGAUAAGAUUCUGAAUAAAGUCCCAGCAGAGGGAUCAUUACCUGUCUGGACAUCUUACUGUUACAUUUGUCUAUCUCACAUUUUUAAAAUUCUCUGGGGCCUCAGUAUCAUCAUGAGAUGCCACUCAAAGUUCUUUCUAAGGCUGAGCAUUGGAAAUGACCACAGAUCCAUUUCAUGAUUUUAUCUCAUGACCAACUGUAGCCCAGGAUCUUUCCUCUUAAGACUUUGGAUAUGAAAAGCUAAAUAUUUAUAUGUGCGCUUCUGCAUACAAUUGCCCAGGGGAUCUGUUACAGUUUAUUUGUAUUCCUGAUCAGUGGCUCUGUUGCUGAAAUAAUUUUGGUAAUACAAAUUUUUUUUCCCAAGCUUUUCAAUGGCCUCAAGUAUUGUAUGCACAUCAUUCUCACCCAUAUUAUAUGCUUGUCAAAGCAAGCUCAAGCAGAGAACUAAUGUUAAAACCACAUGGAAAUGUUAAAAGAAUUUAGGACAAACAGGAGUGCUCCUCAUCCAGCAAGCUUCUUGCUUGAGGGAAUAUGGGUACACAACUUCCCUCACGGCUGGCUGUGGGUAGCAAAUCAUUUGAUACAGAGUAAUUGGAAGGACUGGGUGCUACAAUAAAUGCUGUGGUGAAGAAGAAACACCAACACUUAUAAGUAAAAUUUAGGGCCAGCCCCUCAGCGGAAAUUUAAACUAGAUGAAGCUUUCCUCCUACAUAUUGACUUAGGCAUUUUGAUUCAAAAAAAUUGUUGAGCUACACUUGGGGGGGGUUUCUGAGUAUUUCUUGGUUUUAAAUGGUAUUUAUCAGGAUCAUUCUGUCGCUUGACAUUUAAGCAAAUGGGAGCAUAAUACGCUUUCUGAAAUAUGUAAAUUGGAAGCAUCUAUGAAUGGGUACUGAAUACUCAGUCACUGACUAGAAUUUAGGCUGCAAUUAACUAAACUAACAUUUAUUUAUUUUAGGUGCAUACCUUCUAAUGGAAUGCUUCACACAUAAGUAAUUAACAUUAUGUCACAGGGACAAAUGCAAAUGUAUGUGAUUCAUUUUUUGCCAUACAGAUUUUUCUAUUGACAAAAAAUAUGGUUUUUCUCUGCCUGUCUCUAUUAGAGUUUCCAUUUUCUAUACUCUGUUUACCGUUUGUUGCAAAUUAAACCAUGUCAAACUGACAAGCUACAGGUUUUUUCUAAAAUUACUGGCUUGUUAGGGGUGAAAAAACUUCUUUUGGAAAAAAAAAUGAAUGUGCUUUUUCAGCAACAAGACUUAAAUGAAAGCAAUUCUUCCAUGCCGUUGGCACAAAUGAAUUUGGCUCAAGUGAAAAGCAAAUUAAACCUAUUGUACGUACUUCUUUCAUUAAAGGCAAAAUAUAUAUUUCUGCAAGUUAUUGAUUGUGUUUCCACAUAUUUGUGUUUGUUUUGCUAUCCGACAGAUUACACAGAGUUCAGUGCCCCAAAUCUGACCCGCCUUGAGUCAUUCAUUCAAAUCUCCUGGGUCAGGUAUCAGCUUACAGUAAAGUGCACUGAAGCUUCUCUCAUUAGCCUCAAAUCCCAGCGACAGAGAAGCCACUCCCCUUCAGUUCAAGCCUUGUAUUUUUGGACCCUAGUGGUAUGUUAAUGCUGCAUUUUCUGUAUGUGCAUACACAAAUCUAUUUUUCCAGCAUUUCAACUUGAAAAUGAAAAUAUGCAACUGCUAAUGAGAGAGUCUAAGUGAGCCAUGGGAAGUGAGGGAGUAGGAAACAUUCAUUGCCAUUGCUCUUGGGACUCUUCCUGCUCUAGGACUUGGUUCAGGAUAAUUGAAUGGCUGUGCUGAUAAAUCUCAAAGCACUUCCUGCCAUGAUAGUCUCGCCUGAGAUGAUGAUAUGUGUGUGAGGCCUUCAGCCAGGUGCCUGACAUGCUUCUGCUCUCUGCUGAGCCUCUCCCCAGGCUCACAGUUCAGUGUAAAUAACUUGGCUGGUUAAAACCGAAGUACAAGGACGGCUCCAAUGUUAUUAUGGUGAAGAUCUAUGGGCACAAAUGUCAGUAAGGAAGCAGGAAAAGAUGAAAACACCAUCAUAUAAAUGCAUGCUGGUUGCAUGUUGGUCCAAAACCAAGGGAACGAGGAUGAUGGCAUCCAAAAGUGACCAGGACAAUUUGAUGAUUAUGUAAUUGCUGGAACCAAAUCUUACAAGAAGUGAAAAAAAUCUGAAAGACUUAGAGGAAAUGCUCCUGGAUCUGAAUCCUGAUUUCCCCACUGUACAGCUGCUUAUGGCCUCUAAUUCCCAUCCAUCUACAACAAAAGAUGAAAUUACAAUAGCUUUCUUUCCAGACUGAUUAAAUGGAGCAGGAAAAUAGACAACAGAACUGGUAAUACAUUAUAAUUAGAGACUUGUUUCAAUGUAAUAAUCUAAGGCAUAAUUUGUGGCAUAAAUUCUAUUUCAGGAAAACACUUAAGCAUAUAUUUAAGUCUAUCUUUAUUGACACAAUGCAUUUAAACAUAUGUUUCAGUUGAAAUGUGGGCUUAAAGUCAAAUUAAAUAUAAUAUUGAAAUAUA